AUAUAAAUAAGCUAAAAAUAAGCUUUUAGGUUCAUACCCUGACUAUAGAAAAAAUCUUUUAUAUA
RNAcentral lists this transfer RNA (65 nucleotides) under Lasioglossum sp. SJW-2017. Its description in RNAcentral is "tRNA-Met". The record is from RNAcentral. Lineage: Eukaryota; Metazoa; Arthropoda; Insecta; Hymenoptera; Halictidae.